GGGCCCGUAGCUCAGGGGUAGAGCGCCUGCCUUGCAAGCAGGAGGUCUCGGGUUCAAAUCCCGACGGGUCCA
This 72-nucleotide transfer RNA is filed under the name Candidatus Woesearchaeota archaeon. Its description in RNAcentral is "tRNA-Ala". It matches the Rfam family "tRNA". From Rfam's summary of the family: Transfer RNA (tRNA) molecules are approximately 80 nucleotides in length. Their secondary structure includes four short double-helical elements and three loops (D, anti-codon, and T loops). Further hydrogen bonds mediate the characteristic L-shaped molecular structure. tRNAs have two regions of fundamental functional importance: the anti-codon, which is responsible for specific mRNA codon recognition, and the 3' end, to which the tRNAs corresponding amino acid is attached (by aminoacyl-tRNA synthetases). tRNAs cope with the degeneracy of the genetic code in two manners: having more than one tRNA (with a specific anti-codon) for a particular amino acid; and 'wobble' base-pairing, i.e. permitting non-standard base-pairing at the 3rd anti-codon position. Lineage: Archaea; Nanobdellati; Candidatus Woesearchaeota. The record is from RNAcentral.